Molecule: ribosomal RNA, 497 nt
Filed under: uncultured bacterium
Lineage: Bacteria
Description: bacterial SSU rRNA
Rfam family: Bacterial small subunit ribosomal RNA
Source: RNAcentral
AAAUGAAUUGACGGGGACCCGCACAAGCAGCGGAGCAUGUGGUUUAAUUCGAAGCAACGCGAAGAACCUUACCAGGGCUUGACAUGCCCCUGAUCCCACUAGAGAUAGUGGUUCAUCUUCGGAUGCAGGGGACACAGGUGGUGCAUGGUUGUCGUCAGCUCGUGUCGUGAGAUGUUGGGUUAAGUCCCGUAACGAGCGCAACCCCUGUUUUUAGUUGCUAACAAGUUAAGUUGAGCACUCUAAAGAGACUGCCGAUGAUAAAUCGGAGGAAGGUGGGGAUGACGUCAAAUCAUCAUGCCCUUUAUGUCCUGGGCUACACACGUGCUACAAUGGUCGGUACAACGAGGAGCAACACAGCGAUGUGAAGCAAAUCUCUUAAAGCCGAUCUCAGUUCGGAUUGCAGGCUGCAACUCGCCUGCAUGAAGCCGGAGUUGCUAGUAAUCGCGGAUCAGAAUGUCGCGGUGAAUGCGUUCCCGGGUCUUGUACACACCGCCCGU